RNAcentral lists this unclassified non-coding RNA (338 nucleotides) under Hevea brasiliensis (rubber tree). Lineage: Eukaryota; Viridiplantae; Streptophyta; Magnoliopsida; Malpighiales; Euphorbiaceae. The record is from RNAcentral.
UCUGUAUAUGUGCUGACCCAGAGAGAGAACCAGUUGUGUACAAUGAAGACUCGGAGAAACCGAAGUGAGGUUGAAAGAGAGCUUGGGAUGUUGUUCUCCAAAGGAGGAAAAUGGAAAAAUCGUGCAAAGCAGCCAGAAGCUGACACGAGAUUUCAGAUGCUUGUUGAGGAUAUCACAGAGGGAGUACUUGUAUUUGAGGAUGAAAAUGAGGCUGCAAAAUACUGUGACUUGCUUCAAGGAGGUGGUCAAGGUUGUGAAGGUGUUGCCGAAAUAGAAGCUUCAUCAGUAUUUGAUCUAUGCCGGAAGAUGAGGGCACUGGCAGUUCUAUUUCGCCGGGG